AGCGGGAAAAGCUCAAAUUUAAAAUCUGGCGGUCUCUGGCCGUCCGAGUUGUAAUCUAGAGAAGUAAUGCCCGCGCUGGACCGUGUACAAGUCUCCUGGGAUGGAGCAUCAUAGAGGGUGAGAAUCCCGUCUCUGACACGGACUACCAGGGCUUUGUGGUAUGCUCUCAAAGAGUCGAGUUGUUUGGGAAUGCAGCUCAAAAUGGGUGGUAAAUUCCAUCUAAAGCUAAAUAUUGGCGAGAGACCGAUAGCGAACAAGUACCGUGAGGGAAAGAUGAAAAGAACUUUGGAAAGAGAGUUAAACAGUACGUGAAAUUGCUGAAAGGGAAACGCUUGAAGUCAGUCGCGUUGGCCAGGAAUCAGCCUCGCUUUUGCGUGGUGUACUUUCUGGUUGAUGGGUCAGCAUCAAUUUUGACCACUGGAAAAAGGCCUGGGGAAUGUGGCAGCUUCGGCUGUGUUAUAGCCCCUGGUUGCAUACAGUGGUUGGGAUUGAGGAACUCAGCACGCCGCAAGGCCGGGUUUCGACCACGUUCGUGCUUAGGAUGCUGGCAUAAUGGCUUUAAGCGACCCGUCUUGAAACACGGACCAAGGAGUCUAACAUGCCUGCGAGUAUUUGGGUGGAAAACCCGAGUGCGUAAUGAAAGUGAAAGUUGAGAUCCCUGUCGUGGGGAGCAUCGACGCCCGGACCAGAACUUUUGGGACGGAUCCGCGGUAGAGCAUGUAUGUUGGGACCCGAAAGAUGGUGAACUAUGCCUGAAUAGGGUGAAGCCAGAGGAAACUCUGGUGGAGGCUCGUAGCGAUUCUGACGUGCAAAUCGAUCGUCAAAUUUGGGUAUAGGGGCGAAAGACUAAUCGAACCAUCUAGUA
RNAcentral lists this ribosomal RNA (865 nucleotides) under Chlorophyllum lusitanicum. RNAcentral's name for it is "eukaryotic LSU rRNA". It matches the Rfam family "Eukaryotic large subunit ribosomal RNA", at positions 97 to 949 of the family's 3401-position model. The record is from RNAcentral. Lineage: Eukaryota; Fungi; Basidiomycota; Agaricomycetes; Agaricales; Agaricaceae.